CUGUGUAUGAUUUGCAUUAUGGAGGCGUGAAACUGUUUGGAGUUGCUCAUCGGAAGAAAAAAACUAUGGGGAAUUGUUUUUAGAGUCUGGCAGAGUUUGAUGGUUGAUUCACAUGCCAAAAACUCACAAAUCGUGCCAAAGAUUGAUUAAAAGAUCAGGACUUAUUCGUUGAAUCUGGACCAUUGAUGUUUCAUUUCCACCAUGCAUUAAAUAUCCACCAAUCUGCCACUAAGAAAUUCAAAUCCGUCUUCUGCUACGGCCACCUAUGUUUCGACCUGAUAGUCAGCGGUUUAAAAGUUGUAAAGAAUCCGCCAGUCUAUUAUGGUUUUAUGUUGAUGAUUUUGUUCAUAGAGGCAGUUUGAUCAUUGGUGUGGAUCAAUUACCUAGUUGGUCUCUCAACUUGGAUCGUCCAUGGCUAAUGCGAAAUGGGGCUCACUUGAGUGCACUUGCCAUUCUACAAUAUGGGUCAAUUUAUAGCUGUAGAACAUCAAACUGUGGCCCUCCUACAGGGAUUGGAAAUAAAUAGCGGAGUCCAGCUCCAGCCUAAUGCAGUUACGACUCGUGCUCGGGCCUAGGCCUUCUAAUACUCCAGGGUUUGGUUCCAGGCCCAAGCACAUCCAUUAACAUCACAUAUGUGCCUGUUCGGAUCUUGGGCUAGGCGUUGGCAAAAGGACUCUGCAAAGCGUAGACCCUGCCCAGACACGUUUGUUAUUUGGGCCCGUGCUCAACCCACGGGAAUCCCAGCUGUAGAAACAGUCCAUCCGGCAUUCGGCGAGAUUCUCUUCAGCAGCAUCGAUUCUCCUAUGGCGUGCGUGAGUUUUCUCCGCUCAUCAAGUGGGACCAUUCGCGGUUUGUUAUUGUCCUAAAAGCCAGCCAACUCCGGUUCAGCCAACAAGCAAUCAGGCCACACGUGUACAUUUCAUAGAUGCAGCGAAAAUCCUCUUCGGCCAUGACGUCACGUCUGGCCAAAAUAACAUUGGUCCAUUGCGAUUUUUAUGUGUGGAGAGCACAAUCAAUGAGGCCCACGAGAUGAACGAUCCAGGUCUCACGAACACUUCUCCCUUCCUGUAACUCGGAUGCGGAUUGGGUACUACGGACGGUCCGAGGAGAGCCCUUGUGGGACCCACCGUGAUGUUUUUUUUUAAAUCCACUCCGACCAUCCACUUUGACAAAUCAAUUUUAGCUAAUGAUCCAAAAAAUGAGGCAGAUUGAAGGUUCAAGCAGACCACCUACCAUUGAAACAUUCAUAGGGUCCAUUGUGAUGUUUAUUUUUCAUCCAACAUGUUCAUAAGGUCACGUAGACCUGGAUGAAGUUAUAUGUGAAAUUUUCAAUGGUAAGCGAUCUAUCCCCCAUUGUUUCCUGUGGUGUGGCCAACUUUAGCCUUCCAUCUGCUUAAUAUUUGAGCUUAUCAUCUAAAAUGUUCUUCCAAAAUGAAUGAAUGGCGUGUAUAAAAUACAUACAUCACGGUGGACCCCAGAGAGUAUAAAACACAUGUUACAGGCUGUGUUGGAGAAGACCGGAGUGAGUUGUUGGAAAUGUUAUCGUGAAAGGCUCUAUACGAGCAGUAGAGUGGUGCAUAGCAGCCUUCUUUGCUGGUUUUCCAGUUCAUUAUAUUCGAUUGUUAUAGAAUAAAAGGACGUCUAUAUCAUGUUUGAUCAAAAGAAAUGUUCUUCUCUUCAUCCAACAAGUUGUAUAAGUGAGGCCCAUCCUUCGGUAAUCUAAGCCUUUCAUGUAGUUGGCUAAUGGUGAAGCAACAACCACAAUAUCAACCCUAUCAUAUGAUCCUGGCCAUCUGAUAGUCAAAUGAUCCACUUGUAAGUACAAGUAGGGUCAUAUGAUGGGGAAGAUUUUUGGGUAUCUUGUAUACUCAUCCACAAUGGGGACCUACCUUGUGGAUGGCUUGGGUCACCAAAAGGUCUGUCUAGUUGGGAAACCACACAAAUUUCUCUUUUACGUGCAAAUCAAUGGGAUUAACAAUAUAAAAUGUUUAGUGGAUGAAAAUUACUUCUAACAAAAACAAGCAAAUUAUUAAACAUGUAGAAUUCAAGAGACUAAGAUUUUUAUGUGGAAAAUCUUCAAUGUGAAGGGAAAAAUCACUCGACAAAAAUCUAUUAUAAUCAAAAUAAUGAAAGUACAAUCAUCAAAAGACCUCUCUUGGAUACCCAAAUUACAUCACCCAAAGGUGGAUUACAAGCAACAUAAAAGAAAUGAAUUCUCAUCAACUAGGGAAUGUAGAAGAUCCUCAACACAACCUUUGGAGAAGACGAUCGAAGAAACCGGCAUUGUAGAUGGACCCUGAUGAAUCCAAACGUGAAGAUUUUGAUAGUAGAAAGCUUUUGAUCUUCUCUUCUAUAAAACUCUCUCUUUUCUCUCCUCUUUUUUCUCCGAGAAAAAAAACCUCCAAUGUUGCUAACCCAUUUUCUCUUAUUUUACUUGCUUGACUAAAAGACCAAAAUGCCCCUCACACAUAUGUGCCACUAGAAGUUACUUAAGCCCACAGAUGAGUCCCGCCUUCACAUGGAGAGGGGAUCCCAACAGUUUCUGGGUAACUCGUUGGCUGAGCAAAGUGCUUGAAUGAACAUUGCAAAAUUUCUUCCAUAGGGUAUAUCUAACAUUCUAGAUAUAUCAUUCUUAGCCAUUCAUGCGGAGACUCUCCCAAUCAAGACGGUGAACCAGAAAUACGUAUCUGGACUUCAAGCACUAGCUGAUGUUGUUGCUGCAAUAAAGUCCAUUUUUUUAUGAAAUCAGUCAGUGAAGUUCAAUCUCUUGAAUAUGCAUGUUUAUGCUUGUGAAAAUGCAAGUCUUUGAACUUUUCUCUCAUGGACUUUGUUUCAAAAAUUCAUGGGCAUAGCAGCUGGAGUUGAAUCCAUGUCCAUUGAUUCUGGUGCUCAUAAACCUACUUUCAACCCUCGGGUUCAUAUCCUUCUAAACCAAUAUCCUAAAGACUGCUUGCUUCUCAUGGAAUCACUUCAGAGAUUGUAGUAAAGCAGUACAAAAGUUUCAUGCUUCGAUCAAGGAAAAUUCAAUGAUGAGAUUGUCUCAGUACACAAAGAUUUUUGGAUGCAAUGGUUUUCUUAUUGGAAACAUGAUUUAUAAACAUCCAAAGCUCCAGAACAAAGAUGGAUAUUGGGACUUCUUUGCAGGCCAUUGAUCAUAAAAGUGGCAGUGAAAGAUUGGUCAAAGUUUCAGCUGAUGAAGGAAUUCAGCCUGGUACAUCUAUGCUUAAACCUUCAUUCAAAGAUGGUGGAACUACCACCACAGGCAAUUCUAGUCAAGCUAGUGAUGGUGCUGAAACUGUCCUGCUCAUGAAAUGAGAAGUUACACUGCAGAGAUGUUUGCCAAUACUGAGAACAUUCAGGCAUUUUCAUCAGAAUACGUCUACUGCCUUCGAAAGCUAGGACUGGAUGGAGAAAAGGUUAAUGUAAAUGGUGGAGCAAUUGUUCUUGGACACUGUUAGAGCCACAGGAUUGUCUUCUUCUUAUGGUAAUAUAAAUACCUUUUAGCUAUUUAUAUUGAGAGUUUA
Molecule: RNA transcript, 3524 nt
Organism: Magnolia sinica
Lineage: Eukaryota; Viridiplantae; Streptophyta; Magnoliopsida; Magnoliales; Magnoliaceae
Gene name: 3-ketoacyl-CoA thiolase 1, peroxisomal-like
Exons: 5
Source: RefSeq, a predicted model, not a curated record